CGCAGGCUGAGUCCCCCAGCGGCGCGGUCGCGGGCCGGGAGCCAUCUUUCCCUGUACAUCUCUGUGCCUUGUGGCGCUGCUCUUCUCCUCUGUCGUUGGCCGCCAAGGUCCCGUGCCCUUGCCCCAUGCCCUCGUGUGCUCUGGGAGACCGCGAGGUCCCAGUCCCGCAGGGGACAGAAUGACCUUCUGGCCGGCGGAGUCCCGGGAAUUGUUUCCCGCAGACAGCUCUGGCUCCUCUCCAUCCCGGCGAACAGAGCGAGCACAGACUGCGGCAAGGGGACUUGAGGAAAAAGCCGAGCUAGGAAGACGUGUCCCGGCCUCCAAGAGGGCCUUCCCAGCCAGCAGGCUCGAUUCCGUCCGGGGCGUGACCCUUCUAUCCAGCCGACCUCAGCUAGGAUUCGGAGAGGAAGAGGGAAAUCAAAAAAGACUGGAUCUCGCAA
Molecule: long non-coding RNA, 440 nt
Filed under: Fukomys damarensis (Damara mole-rat)
Lineage: Eukaryota; Metazoa; Chordata; Mammalia; Rodentia; Bathyergidae
Description: lncRNA (ENSFDAG00000028987.1)
Source: RNAcentral